This 219-nucleotide ribosomal RNA is filed under the name uncultured bacterium. RNAcentral's name for it is "partial 16S ribosomal RNA". It matches the Rfam family "Bacterial small subunit ribosomal RNA", at positions 1284 to 1500 of the family's 1533-position model. The record is from RNAcentral.
AUUCUCAGUUCGGAUUGUAGGCUGAAACUCGCCUACAUGAAGCUGGAGUUACUAGUAAUCGCAGAUCAGAAUGCUGCGGUGAAUGCGUUCCCGGGUCUUGUACACACCGCCCGUCACACCACGGAAGUUGGGGGCGCCCGAAGCCACUUAGCUAACCCAUUUGGGAAGCGAGUGUCGAAGGUGAAAUCAAUAACUGGGGUGAAGUCGUAACAAGGUAUC